Molecule: long non-coding RNA, 2235 nt
Organism: Cavia porcellus (domestic guinea pig)
Lineage: Eukaryota; Metazoa; Chordata; Mammalia; Rodentia; Caviidae
Exons: 2
Source: RefSeq, a predicted model, not a curated record
CCUCCAUGCCUUGAUUACUUUAACUUCUAAGAUCUAUUUUUUCCCUUUUAGAUCAUGUAGACAAUUGUAAAUCAUGUGAAGAUGGGACUCCUGGUAUUUGUGCGCAAUCUGCUGCUAGCCCUCUGCCUCUUUCUGGUACUGGGAUUUUUGUAUUAUUCUGCGUGGAAGCUGCACUUACUCCAAUGGGAAGACUCCAGUGAAGCAGUUUUUCUCCACCACAGUCUUCCAUCAUGAUUUUUCUGCCUCAGAGCCAGCUGACCAUGGAGUGAACUCCCUGAACUGUGAGCCAAAUAAACCUUUUAAAUUUUGUUAAGUGUUGGGUGUUUUGUCCCAGUGAUAGGAAAAUGACUAAUACAGUGUGUUCACUAGCUUAGUUGUGACAGUUUCACAGAUUAAUGUACGUAUGUUACAGAUACUGAUGAAUACAUCAAAAUUCACCAAGUCUAUACACUUUGGAUAGGGGCAAUUUAUGUUAUUAUAAUUUGGUAAAAAUAGCCAGGGAAAAAUAAUACCUUCAAAAGGACAACAAUUAGAUGGGUAAUUGGCUUCUGAAGAGUAGCAAUAAAAACUGGAAGUCAGUGAACUGUUUUUAUUAUUUUUAAAGAAAACAGCUGUCAGCUGGAAUCUGUACGUGCCAUGAAACCAUCUUUUGAGAAUGAGGCAGAUACUGAAGAAAAUUCACUACCAGCAAAAGGACCUUCAAAGGAAGGUACAGGAAGGAAUGAUAAACUGGUAAACCUUUGAGUAAACCUGCAUAAUAUUGGCUGUAUGCCACAAAAGGCAGUAUUACUCAGUUAGCAUCUGGCAUCAUAAAAGCCAAGAGAUGGAGCUAUACUACUAGUUGGUGAUAGAAUGUAAAUGAAGAAGUCAGGGAUACAGUGGGACGUACUUUACUUGUAAUUUCAGCACUCUGAGAGGUUGAGGCAGAAGGGUCCCAUGUUGGAACUCAGCUUGAGUGUUAUCGUUUGGACCAGAAGUGUUCCCCAGACAUCUUAAGGUUUCAGAGCGGGGCGUCUGGAAGCAGUGACUAGGUCAUGGUGUGCUAUAACUUCUGAAUGGAUUGUGGGCUAAUCCACUGAUGAGUUUACAGCUGACUGUGCUGUUAUGUGGUGGCACCUGGAAGAGGUUGUGACCUGGAAGGGAAUAUCUCCCUUCCUGCUUCUCCUUUUGCUAGGGAUGUCAUGACAUCAUGGACUGUCAUCAUGAGCCAAAAUAAACCUCACCUCCAUUAAAUUAUGGGUGUUGGUAUUUUGUCCCAGCGAUACGUGAUUUAAGACACUGGGUAACUUAGUGGGAUCCUGUUUUAAAGUAUAAAACAAGGGCUGGGCAUGUUGCUUAGUGCAAAGUGUCGAGUUCAAUCCCCAGUCAUGCAUCCCCCCACCUGCCAAAUUGAGGGGUAUCGAGUUAAAGCAUUUUUCUUACAUUUGUUAGUAUGGUGAGAUGUAUCAAUUCAGUUAGGCUUUGUUAAGGUAAAUAUGCAGAUGAGAUGUCUAGGCUAGUUACUACAAGAAAGAUAAUUAUAUCAAGUAUAUAAAAUCUAGUGAAAGGAAAGUAUUGUGAGAAAAAAUAGGCAGGAAGUCAAUAAGAGAAAAAGUGUUGAAGGAUGAGGCCAGUGAGUAACAUGUGAAACUAAAAGCUGAAUGUACGGUGCUGUAGUCAGGGAGCUGUGCUCGUCAGAGACAGAAUCUCUGAGCCAAGCAGAGUGCUGUCUUUUUUAAAAAAUGUUUUUAUUUUUAAGAGAAUAAAACCAAACAAAACAGAAUAAAGCCAAUCAAAACAAAACAGUGAAAGCAAAAUAAGAUAAUAAGAAAUCAACAAUGGCUGCCUUGAUGCCUCUUGUUCUCUUCAAAAUAUCUGCCCAUCCAUGAGACCUCAUAAAAUCAAAUAAAACAACAGAAUAAAACCAAUAAAAACAAAACAGGGCACUAUCUUUUAUAGCAACAGUGGUUCUUAAAAUUUGAUUAGAAGUACCAUAUUCGUACAUUAGUAAUGAGAUGCUGACUGCCUGUGGUGCUAUCUGCUAGCACCAUAGGACUAAUCAAACCAGGAGCCCCCAAUUGUAUUAAUUGUCAUUGUAUUUUUUUUCCUAUUUUAGGUGGUUUUUUUUGUUUGUUUGUUUUUAGUUUUUGUACCGGGGAUUGAACUCAUGACCUUGCAUUUGCCAAGCAGGCACUUACACUGCUGAGCUAAACCCCCACACGUGUUUUUUUUUAAAGCCAGUUUUACUUAAGAAUA